AACAAAAAGUCGGGCCUGCCCGGUGAUAUAAUAAUUAAACGGCUGCAACGAGAGUUGUGCUAAGGUAGCGCGAUAAUUUGUCUCUUAAUUGGAGAAUGGUAUGAAAGGUUUGACGUAGAUCGAUUGUCUCUAUAAAAAAAAAAUGAAGUUUCCUUUUAAAUGAAAAGGUUUAAAUUUUUGUAAAAGACGAGAAGACCCUGCCGAGCUUAAUUAGGCUUUCAAUUUAGUUAUUGUUACUGUUUUUAAAGUUGAAUUUUAGUUGGGGAAAGCUAAGCUUAAGAGAACAAGUUUAUAAAGAUACAGAUCCUCUUUGAGAGAAAGUUAGUAAAAGCUACCGCAGGGAUAACAGCGUAAUUUUUCUUGGGAGAUCGAAUUGAGGGAAAAGUGUGCGACCUCGAUGUUGGAUUAAAGAAACUUUUUGGUGCAGCAGCUAAAAAUGUAAGACUGUUCGUCUUUUAAAUCUCUACAUGAUCUGAUUUCAAACCGGA
RNAcentral lists this ribosomal RNA (488 nucleotides) under Paphia amabilis (short-necked clam). Its description in RNAcentral is "partial large subunit ribosomal RNA". It matches the Rfam family "Bacterial large subunit ribosomal RNA", at positions 1844 to 2620 of the family's 2925-position model. Lineage: Eukaryota; Metazoa; Mollusca; Bivalvia; Venerida; Veneridae. The record is from RNAcentral.